AUUGAACGCUGGCGGCAUGCCUUACACAUGCAAGUCGAACGGUAACGGGCCUUCGGGUGCCGACGAGUGGCGAACGGGUGAGUAAUGUAUCGGAACGUACCUUCCAGUGGGGGAUAACGUAGCGAAAGUUACGCUAAUACCGCAUAUUCUGUGAGCAGGAAAGAAGGGGAUCGCAAGACCUUGCGCUGAUUGAGCGGCCGAUAUCAGAUUAGCUAGUUGGUGAGGUAAAGGCUCACCAAGGCGACGAUCUGUAGCGGGUCUGAGAGGAUGAUCCGCCACACUGGAACUGAGACACGGUCCAGACUCCUACGGGAGGCAGCAGUGGGGAAUUUUGGACAAUGGGGGCAACCCUGAUCCAGCCAUGCCGCGUGAGUGAAGAAGGCCUUCGGGUUGUAAAGCUCUUUCGGCCGGGAAGAAAUCGUAUCAGCUAAUACCUGGUGCGGAUGACGGUACCGGCAUAAGAAGCACCGGCUAACUACGUGCCAGCCGCCGCGGUAA
RNAcentral lists this ribosomal RNA (498 nucleotides) under uncultured bacterium. RNAcentral's name for it is "partial 16S ribosomal RNA". It matches the Rfam family "Bacterial small subunit ribosomal RNA", at positions 30 to 523 of the family's 1533-position model. The record is from RNAcentral.